This 439-nucleotide ribosomal RNA is filed under the name uncultured bacterium. RNAcentral's name for it is "partial 16S ribosomal RNA". It matches the Rfam family "Bacterial small subunit ribosomal RNA", at positions 43 to 526 of the family's 1533-position model. The record is from RNAcentral.
CAGGCCUAACACAUGCAAGUCGAGCUUCCCAGCAAUGGGAGCGGCGGANGGGUGAAUAACACGUGGGAAUAUGCCUUUCGGUUCGNAAUAACGCAGGGAAACUUGCGCUAAUACUNUAUACGCCCUUCGGGGGAAAGAUUUAUCGCCGAAAGAUUAGCUCGCGUCUGAUUANCUAGUUGGUGAGGUAACGGCCCACCAAGNCGAAGAUCGGUAGCCGGCCUGAGAGGGCACACNNCCACNCUGGCACUGAAACNCGGGCCAGACUCCUUCGGGAGGCAGCAGUGGGGAAUCUUGCACAAUGGAGGAAACUCUGAUGCAGCGACUUCCGCGUGAGUGAUGAAGCCCCUCGGGGUGUAAAGCUCUUUNGNCGGGAAAGAUGAUGACGGUACCCGAAGAAGAAGCUGCGGCUAAUCUAUNGUGCCAGCANCCGCGGUAAUAC